Molecule: ribosomal RNA, 514 nt
Filed under: Lumbricus terrestris (common earthworm)
Lineage: Eukaryota; Metazoa; Annelida; Clitellata; Crassiclitellata; Lumbricidae
Description: partial large subunit ribosomal RNA
Rfam family: Bacterial large subunit ribosomal RNA (bases 50-389)
Source: RNAcentral
UCUAUAAGCCGCUUAAAAAUUACCCUCUAACCGAAGAGUGUUAGAUAGCGUCGAAGGACAAGAAGACCCUAUAGAGCUUAAUUUAAAUAAAUGUAAAAAAUUUACUAAAAUUCGGUUGGGGCGACCAGGGAAUUGCCCAUCAUCCCUAAGCAAAAGAUAAAUAUAUCAAAAUACUGACCCUUCUACAAGAUCAUUAAAACAAGCUACCUUAGGGAUAACAGGCUAAUCUCACUAGAGAGUCCUUAUCAAUAGUGAGGAUUGGCACCUCGAUGUUGGCUUAGGGAAUCUCUGUGACGCAAAAGUCAUAUAAAGAUGGUUUGUUCAACCAAUAACACCCUACAUGAGCUGAGUUCAGACCGGCGUAAGCCAGGUUAGUUUCUAUCCUCGAUCACUUUAUCUAUUUAUAGUACGAAAGGACCUAAUUAGAGUAAUAUUUACAUACGGGGAAUAAAUAUAAACCAAUCUAAAUAAAAUAAAUCAUAAACUAUGAGUAAGUUGGCAGAAUAGUGCCACC